Molecule: ribosomal RNA, 253 nt
Filed under: uncultured bacterium
Lineage: Bacteria
Description: partial 16S ribosomal RNA
Rfam family: Bacterial small subunit ribosomal RNA
Source: RNAcentral
GACAGAGGAUGCAAGCGUUAUCCGGAAUGAUUGGGCGUAAAGCGUCUGUAGGUGGCUUUUUAAGUCCGCCGUCAAAUCCCAGGGCUCAACCCUGGACAGGCGGUGGAAACUACCAAGCUGGAGUACGGUAGGGGCAGAGGGAAUUUCCGGUGGAGCGGUGAAAUGCGUAGAUAUUGGAAAGACCACCAAUGGCGAAGGCACUCUACUGGGCCACUACUGACACUGAGAGACGAAAGCUAGGGGAGCGAAUGGG